CCACGAGCUCAUUCAUUCAAGUGUCCCUAGAUAUUUUAUCCUCUUAUCCCUUUUAUCUUUUUCUUUCUUUCUCCAAUCGCCUAUAUAUUACACCCCUUCAAAUCUAUGAACGUCUCAUUCUCUAUCACUAAUCAAAUUCCUGUCUUCUUUUUCUUCAAAUUAAUUGCAAAUGAUAUGUAAUGUAAUUUCCCAUUGUUUCUUCAAUUUGGAUCAAUUACAAACAUAGCAAGUUGAUUAAAAAUUGGCAUUAUCGAUCAUGAAGCGAAACUGCUAUUUGGAUCUUCGUUUUCGCCCUUCAUCUGCGUCCCAACCCCAUCAUUCAAUAAUUUCGUAGGAAUGAGCCAUUGAACAUGAACAGAAAAGUUGUUGCCAUUCCGAAUAGUAGUCGCCACAUGCUUGAUGUCACAGAACUUCAGGUAAUGUGAAUUGUGCCAAAUUCAAUCUCUGACGAUUUCUUCACCUUUUUUCGGAAAUAGAACUUUGACAAUUUCAAUAUAAUAAAUUGGGGUUUGAUAUUUUUCUUUAUUUAAUUAAAAGGAAAGCUUUAUUUCCGAUUUUUAUAGGUGUGUUUGAGAAUCAUUUGAGUUAAACUCAAUUGAAGUUAAAAGAAAAGGUUACCCUCAUUGUCUUUUACUUUUCUUAUAUACAAAUGUGUAUUUUUUUUUUUUUAUUAAAAGUGAUUUUAAACGGGUACGUUGUUGAUAAUUAAAAUCAAUGUCAAUGCACAAGUACGUCCCUUAAAUAUGCUAAACUUCUUCGGAUAACUAAUCAAGGCAACUCAGCAGAAUAACUUUUUAAUUAAAAAUGAAAAAAGAAAAUGCAUUGGUUCGUAGCUUUGGUCACAAGAUUGGAUUGAAAAAUGUUUUGUACGAAAAGGGAACAAUAGCAUGUGAUGUAGUACCUUUGGUUGAAAUUGUAUGCAGGCAAGAGUGAUAAUAUGGUUGGCAAGUCAAGAAAGGGUAGGAAACACGGGACCAAGUUCAGCCACGUCACAUUAUUUGCAAUCUCAAGCUUUAUUAAUGCAUGCCCCACAAGGUUUUACAAUAAAGAAGUCCCUUCGGAAUUUCCUUCAGAAGAGAAAAAAAAGGUCUCAGAAGUCACAUGCCCAUUGCAUAUCGGAAUAUAGCACAACUUAGUCAACAGGAGUCAACGACAUGAGUUUUUUCACAUCAAUUUUUAUUACAAUUCAUUUUUAUUACACCCAACUAGAAAUAAUCUAUUUUCUUCUUUCUCAUCUCUCUAUAUUUUGUAUAUUGGGGUGUAACAAAAGUGUAAAUUAAAAUUGAAAGUGACAAAAUAUUUUCUCGUCAAAUUGUAUCCUUUGCGAGACCAAUGAAAAAUAUAUACCUGUAGUACGUAUUAAUUUUCUCCUAAUGCUCUUUACUCGUAUGAAUGAAAAGGGACAUUUUCAGUCCACUACAAUACUUAACAUAAACUAUUAGUUCAGAUUUGCAUAUACAAGCAAAAUGUAGAUUAACUGGUUGGAUUUAACAUGACACUAAUGAAAGGGAAGAAAAAAAAACUCCAUGACUUGAGACAAUAGGAAUGUGGAUGAUGAAUUUGAGAAUCAGUACACAAAUAUGCAUGGUGCUGUCGCGAAUGAAACAAGUUAAAAAAAAAAAAGUGAAAUA
Molecule: non-coding RNA, 1631 nt
Organism: Cajanus cajan (pigeon pea)
Lineage: Eukaryota; Viridiplantae; Streptophyta; Magnoliopsida; Fabales; Fabaceae
Source: RefSeq, a predicted model, not a curated record